RNAcentral lists this non-coding RNA (24 nucleotides) under Arabidopsis thaliana (thale cress). The record is from RNAcentral. Lineage: Eukaryota; Viridiplantae; Streptophyta; Magnoliopsida; Brassicales; Brassicaceae.
ACCAGGACGGCCGGAUGUCCGAGA